UGGGGGAUAUUGCACAAUGGGCGAAAGCCUGAUGCAGCGACGCCGCGUGGGGGAUGAAGGCCUUCGGGUUGUAAACUUCUUUUGCUCUGAACAAGGCGCACCAUGGGGUGUGUUGAGUGUAGGGGUUGAUUAUCGCCUGCUAACUACGUGCCAGCAGCCGCGGUAAUACGUAGGGCGCGAGCGUUGUCCGGAAUUAUUUGGCGUAAAGGGCUUGUAGGUGGCUGGGUGCGUCUGUCGUGAAAGCUCAUGGCUUAACUGUGGGUUUGAGGUGGGGACGGGAUGGCUAGAGUGCAGUAGGGGAGGCUGGAAUUCCUGGUGUAGCGGUGGAAUGCGCAGAUAUCAGGAGGAAUACCGGUGGCGAAGGCGGGUCUCUGGGCUGUUAAUGACACUGAGGAGCGAAAGCAUGGGGAGCGAACAGG
This 419-nucleotide ribosomal RNA is filed under the name bacterium. Its description in RNAcentral is "partial 16S ribosomal RNA". It matches the Rfam family "Bacterial small subunit ribosomal RNA", at positions 355 to 776 of the family's 1533-position model. The record is from RNAcentral.